This 363-nucleotide ribosomal RNA is filed under the name Triticum aestivum (bread wheat). Its description in RNAcentral is "partial small subunit ribosomal RNA". The record is from RNAcentral. Lineage: Eukaryota; Viridiplantae; Streptophyta; Magnoliopsida; Poales; Poaceae.
AUGCAACCCCGAAAUCAAUCCCAAGCAUCAAGUAUCAGGACACUACGGAAACCUGAAUCGCCAAGACCGGACCCAUCAAGUACCCCUUCGGAUUCGUCAAGACCGUCAUGUACGACUACACCCAGUGAUGCGUCAAGUACCUCUACCGUCGACCCUGUGGGCGUCAAGUUCCUCUAUGAAACGUGUACCACUACGCCUAAGUUCCACUACAAGAUGUACCACUAUCGUCGCCGAAGACCGUCAAGUGUACAACUACCGCCACCGUUGAUUCGACAAGACAACGUGUACAACUAUUUCCACUACCGUCGACACAUGAACAACUACUUCACACGACGACCCGUGAACGACUACUUCCCUCGAUGA